RNAcentral lists this ribosomal RNA (439 nucleotides) under uncultured Gammaproteobacteria bacterium. Its description in RNAcentral is "bacterial SSU rRNA". It matches the Rfam family "Bacterial small subunit ribosomal RNA", at positions 1091 to 1532 of the family's 1533-position model. Lineage: Bacteria; Pseudomonadati; Pseudomonadota; Gammaproteobacteria. The record is from RNAcentral.
UACGAGCGCACCCUUGUCCUUAUUUGCCAGCGCGUAAUGGCGGGAACUCUAAGGAGACUGCCGGUGACAAACCGGAGGAAGGUGGGGACGACGUCAAGUCAUCAUGGCCCUUACGAGUAGGGCUACACACGUGCUACAAUGGUCGGUACAAAGGGUUGCCAACUCGCGAGAGUGAGCCAAUCCCGAAAAGCCGAUCUCAGUCCGGAUCGGAGUCUGCAACUCGACUCCGUGAAGUCGGAAUCGCUAGUAAUCGUGGAUCAGAAUGCCACGGUGAAUACGUUCCCGGGCCUUGUACACACCGCCCGUCACACCAUGGGAGUGGACUGCACCAGAAGUGGUUAGCCUAACGCAAGAGGGCGAUCACCACGGUGUGGUUCACGACUGGGGUGAAGUCGUAACAAGGUAGCCGUAGGGGAACCUGCGGCUGGAUCACCUCCUU